RNAcentral lists this ribosomal RNA (140 nucleotides) under Escherichia coli. RNAcentral describes it as "partial 23S ribosomal RNA". The stretch from base 1 to 121 matches the Rfam family "Bacterial large subunit ribosomal RNA", at positions 2810 to 2925 of the family's 2925-position model. The record is from RNAcentral. Lineage: Bacteria; Pseudomonadati; Pseudomonadota; Gammaproteobacteria; Enterobacterales; Enterobacteriaceae.
UCUCCCUGACUCCUUGAGAGUCCUGAAGGAACGUUGAAGACGACGACGUUGAUAGGCCGGGUGUGUAAGCGCAGCGAUGCGUUGAGCUAACCGGUACUAAUGAACCGUGAGGCUUAACCUUACAACGCCGAAGUGUUUUG